This is a non-coding RNA of Ceratobasidium sp. AG-Ba, 105 nucleotides long. Lineage: Eukaryota; Fungi; Basidiomycota; Agaricomycetes; Cantharellales; Ceratobasidiaceae. The record is from the annotation of a GenBank genome assembly.
CCUCCUGAGGCACAAUCGGUGGCGCGUCUGAUUUGUUAGGCAUACUCGACUUGCGCAACUGAAUUUCCAAUCAGAAGGUUAUUAGUUCGAUCCUAAGUGGGAGAG